Triticum aestivum (bread wheat) is the source of this 125-nucleotide non-coding RNA. NCBI's taxonomy places the organism in Eukaryota, Viridiplantae, Streptophyta, Magnoliopsida, Poales, Poaceae. The record is from Rfam.
CUUCUACUCCCUCCGUCCCAAAAUACUUGUCGAAGUGAUGGAUAAAAUUGGACAUAUCUAUAACUAAAAUACGUCUAGAUUCAUCCAUUUCCCCCACAAGUAUUUCCGGAUGGAGGGAGUACAAA